GCGACAACGCCUCGUGGUAAUAACUCUUAAGCGGCAUAACAGCGAUUUUGUGAAGCAGUUUGGUAGUCUUGAUGUCGGUGACGGUAGGGUUUCCGCUACAAUCACCAACGCAACGACAAACCAGUUACAAAUAUUGUUAAGUUCUUGUUGUAUACGCAUACAUACAUCUGUAUACGUUGUUAGCAGCUUCUACUGCCGAUCCAUCAACAUUUCAAGGAUAAAUGAUGCAGACCGUGGAGCAACUUUUUUUCAUUGUACUUUGGGUCACGUGAUAUUUUAUGUACUAAUUUUUGUAAAGAAAAAUUAAAAUACAUUUUUUUAUAAGCUUUAAGUACCAAUAAACAUUGCAUAAAAUUUCUUUAUAUUUA
Long non-coding RNA from Bactrocera dorsalis (oriental fruit fly), 368 nucleotides. RefSeq lists it as uncharacterized. The record is from RefSeq and is a predicted model, not a curated record. The transcript has 2 exons. Lineage: Eukaryota; Metazoa; Arthropoda; Insecta; Diptera; Tephritidae.